CGCGAAAACUUUACAAUGCUGGCAACAGCGAUAAGGGAACCUCGAGUGCCAGGUUACAAAUCUGACUGUCGAGAUGCCUAAAAAGCAUUUCAUAGCAAGGGCCGGGCAAGACCGGUGCCAGCCGCCGCGGUAACACCGGCGGCUCGAGCGGUAACCGUUAUUAUUGGGUCUAAAGGGUCUGUAGCCGGCCGGAUAAGUCUCUUGGGAAAUCUGGCAGCUCAACUGUCAGGCUUUCAGGAGAUACUGUCUGGCUCGAGGCCGGGAGAGGUGAGAGGUACUUCAGGGGUAGGGGUGAAAUCUUGUAAUCCUUGAAGGACCACCAGUGGCGAAGGCGUCUCACCAGAACGGACCUGACGGCAAGGGACGAAAGCUAGGGGCACGAACCGGAUUAGAUACCCGGGUAAUCCUAGCCGUAAACGAUACUCGCUAGGUGUCGGCCACGGUGCGGCCGUGGUCGGUGCCGUAGGGAAGCCGUGAAGCGAGCCACCUGGGAAGUACGGCCGCAAGGCUGAAACUUAAAGGAAUUGGCGGGGAGCACCACAACGGGUGGAGCUUGCGGUUUAAUUGGAGUCAACGCCGG
RNAcentral lists this ribosomal RNA (580 nucleotides) under uncultured methanogenic archaeon. RNAcentral's name for it is "bacterial SSU rRNA". It matches the Rfam family "Archaeal small subunit ribosomal RNA", at positions 340 to 921 of the family's 1478-position model. Lineage: Archaea; Methanobacteriati; Methanobacteriota. The record is from RNAcentral.